UGAGUAUUAAACUUUUAGAAUUUAUUAAUAAUUACUUAGUUCUCCCAAUUCCCUUCCAACCUCUGAGUGUUCUCUGACAUCAUGCAGUAGCAACUCCUUUCUUGUUCUCUGGGUCACUUGAAUAACUUAAUAUGAAAAUGCUUUGAGACCUUCAGAGAAUCAGGACAGUCGCAUACUUUGGCCCAGGCACCCGCAAGACGUGCCAGGAGGUUUACGUGCCUGUCUCUCUGCCUCUAGCUGGCUGGGGUUGUCCCACGGCUCUGAGGAGGGACACACGCAAAUGCUGAGAGCCUGCAGUUCCUCGGGGGUGGUCAGGAGAGUACAGGACCUGCUGCCCAUGGCUGACCUACCAAAAUAGUGCUGCGACUAUAGGAUCCCAGAGGGGCUGCAGUUAGGCAUGUGAAACAGUGUGUGGACAAAACUGCCAUCUCCUCACCUCAUACGGGAAAACAGAGAGGCCUGCAGUUCUGUGGGAAGACUUCAAAACAGCUCUCAAAAAGUAAAAUUGUAUCACCAGAGAAACUGGGUUAUGUAAUGGUGCAUACCACACUUCUGUUUUCCUGAGGAAGUUAGCACUUCUUAUUGAGAAGGCUGCGGCCUGAUCAUGCUGUUAUUACCACUAAAAAACAAAAAUCUGUGAGGCCCCCAGAGGCUGCCCAGCACUAUGUAACAGGGAAAAGAGAGGCAGGCCUGGGUGCAGGGUGGUCGCAUCCAUGAUCCAGCCUGACCCCCAUCACCAGCCGGCAGGGAGACAGACUCACACUGAAGAUAAAGCAGAGCUGCUGUACUGGCUGGACUUGAGGUGGUUUAAGUUGGCAGCUACAUCGAAGGACUUCUGAAAAGCUCAAGUGACAGUUACACCUUUGCACUCUCCACAUUCAGCUGGCCUUUUCCCUCAAAACAUGGAUAAUCUUCAAACCUCCCUGAACAGGUGGAAAUGCGUCUUUCCUCUAAGCCAAGUUCUCAGUCCACAUUAGUCCAUACUUGGCUACAGAAUUGACGUUUGUGGCCACAAUCCUACUAGAAAUGACCUUUGGGUAAUAUCCUUAUCUUGUUGAUCUAGUUAGGGUCAAGUAAAACGAAAUAGGUUUUCAAUCAAAUACUAAGAAGCUCACAAAAUGGAAUUUAGGUGAAAACACACCAAAGUAGUAUUAAAGUUCAAAUUCCAAAAGAAAUACUUGCAUUAAAAAAGAAAAGCCAUGCAUGGUGGCUCGCUAUGCCUGUAGUCCCAACAAUUCGAGGUGGGAGGAUUGCCUGAGCCUGGGAGGUCGAGGCUGCAGUGAGCUGAGAUUGUGACACUGUACUCCAGCCUGGGGGACAGGGUGAGACCCUCGCUCAAAAAAUAAAAUAAAAUAAAAUAAAUAAAUAAAAAAUAGAAAGAAAGAAAGCAAACCACACACACACAUACAACAAAAAAAGAUCACUUUAAAUCUUUAAACUAUUCCUUUCAAAACAAUGUGACAGAAACAUCAUCAGGUUACUAGAGAUUUCACAAAUAAUGCAUAAUAAAGAGCUUUCUCAGAAACAGAGUACUACCACCUAAUGAAAAAAUAAAACCUAUCCAAAACCAAGAAUCUUCAGUAAAUAAAAUGCUUUUAGCAUUAAAAACUAAUAAGAUAGCUUUAAAAACCAUGUUUUUAAAAAUUGCAACAAAUACUUCUUACUUUUAACUGUCUUUUUUAACAGAGCAAAGCAAUGGAAUAUUGUGCAUCCCACACAGUGACAUUGUGUGAUUUUGGGUAGGAACACAUUUGAACCCUAACCAACCUUGGCAGGAGGAGAGGGUGAGGGAGUCAUUUGACCUGGGGUCAUGCUGGUAACCGGGACAUAGAGACUUCCUCUUUCCCUCUGAGCUCACAGGCCCUUCCCAUUUCCACACUGGCUCGGAUCCUUCAGCAGCCUUUCCUGCUGCUGACAACCAAAUGGAGAAAAUAAAUGAAUUUUAAAACAGUUAUUUUCUUCACAGAUUUAGGGAAAGACACCAUGGGAGGGAAAACACAUGUGGGUAAAUACAAAAUACAGUUACAUAUUUAUUGUGGAUGCUGCAGAAACCCCAGAGUCAAAGCACAUGCUCCAUUGGGAAGAGUGGCGCACAGGAGGAGAGGCUGACCCCUUCAGUAUCACAGUUCUUUUUCUCCUGCUCAUUCAUGUUUCUUUUUUUCUUUUCUUUUUUUUUUUUUUUUGAGACAGACUCUCGCUCUUGUCGCCCAAGCUGCCAGGCUGGAGUACAGUGGCACGAUCUCGGCUCACUGCAAUCUCUGUCUCUCAGGUUCAAGCGAUUCUCCUGCCUCAGCCUUCCCAGUAGCUGGGAUUACAGGCACCUGCCACCAUGCAUGGCUAAUUUUUGUAUUUUU
This 2354-nucleotide long non-coding RNA is filed under the name Homo sapiens (human). Its description in RNAcentral is "HSALNT0136372". The record is from RNAcentral. Lineage: Eukaryota; Metazoa; Chordata; Mammalia; Primates; Hominidae.